CUCUGCUUCAUGUAACCGUGAAAACAGCGCAGACGCAGUGAAACCAAGCCGCGGAACGGUUGGGUGUUAACAAAUGACUCAGAUGCAAACCAAUUAACGAACAGAAUUUGAAGGAAAAAAAAAAAGAAUCCUGUUUUGUGAUAAGUAUCUCUGGAUCUAAUGACCACACAGAAAGUGUGUUUCAAUUAUGAAUAAUACGUGGACUGAUGUGAUAAACAGGCGUUCAGCUGAACUCAUUAAAAGUGAACUGCAAAUUGCAUUCAGAAUUAUUCAAUUGUGUGGAAGAUGGCACAAAUAAUUUUUUCCACUUGCAAAAUCUGAAAAUCAGAUCACGACUAGAAAAAGAAAGACAAGACUGGUCACUACCACUCACAUGAGUAACAUCAUUGGAACUAGUAGAGAAAUGCUGCCUUCUCAACGCCCAACUCUGUGUGAUGUUCUAAGAUAUGGGCUUCUGCUAAGACAACAGAGGGGAGAGAAUGUCAGAAAUUAUGAAGUAGCCACUCUUGCAAAGGAUAUUUAUAUUUAUCAGAAAGUGCUUCAAAAGUGUGGGCUAGCAAACAUUUGUUUUGUGGCGACAAUUUUAAAUUCGAGAGUCACAGUCCUGAAGAAAAUAGAAGAAAACUGGGAAAAGGCCGAAAUCUUAUCACCUGGCAGAGGAAAGCUUGAAAUGAAGGCGGCUUUCACAGCAAUGUUAGACAAGCUUUUCGAUAUCCUUAGUUGCAAGUGUGAAAUUAAGCUAUGUUCAGAAUUUGAGGGUCCAUGUCCAGAUGGUGCUGACUGUAAACAGGAAGUGCACAUCUCCAAGUGUUUAUUAAAGGUCAAAGAGAGAAGGUUGGAUCUGUUGGACAGGAGCACAUUCAAUUACCCAAUAUAUCUGAGCACAGUCAAAGUAAAAAGCACAAGAGGUAAUAAGACAAAUUAAAAAUAAUUUCUGAAUAUAUGCAGCAAAUGAAGGAAGAAAACUGGCUCUGAGCACUAUGGGACUUAACAUCUGAGGUCAUCAGUCCCAUAGAACUUAGAACUACUUAAACCUAACUAACCUAAGGACAUCACAGACAUCCAUGCCCCAGGCAGGAUUCGGACCUGCGACCGUAGCGGUCUCGCAGUUCCAGACUGUAGCCCCUAGAACCGCUCAGCCACUCCGGCCGGCAAAUGAAAGAAGAGUUAACAUUACAACCAAAUGAAAUUCUUUUCUACUAACAAGGUGAAGAGACAACUGAUAUUAAAGAUGAAGAUUCUGAAGAUCCUUUGCAGAUACCAUGUGAUGAUUCUGACAUACUUUCUACUUCAAUUGUAUGGCAGUAUAAGACAUUACAGUUGCAUAACAUUGCAUUGCGAAGUAUUAGGUAUGUGCUACAGCUGCUGUUACAACUACUGCAUAUUUGGUUCUGUGUUAAUUACUGAAUGAAACAGGAGACUUGUGGUUGAUCACAAUGAGUUAAAAGGAGCAAAGGAAAAGUCAUGACACAACUUGAUGAAGAAUUUCAUGAUCAGUGCAGGACAGGCAAGAGUUAAUGUAUUUUCUUUGAUGGAUGCCAAGAUUCUACUAUCAUCUGUCACAAAGCAGGUAACUGAAGUAAUCAGUCUCCAACUGUUGUGAAAGGAUAGCAUUACUGUUUGCAGUGAGACGGGUGGAAGAUACCAUUGCCAUUUGAGACUUAAUGAAAAGAAAACCUGCUGAAGUUAUUGCUAAUCAUCUUUUGGCUAUAUUUAUGAAAAACAGCAUUGAUUAAAAUUUGCAGGCUAUUGACAGUGACUCAACAAAUUUCAACACUGGUCGGAAAGGAGUAGUCAAGACAUUGGGUUGAGACAAAGCAGAAUCGUAAACUUAUCUGGUUGUUUUGUGCUCUUCAUACUAAUAAACUACCUUUGCAUCACUUGAUCAAACAGUUGAAUGAGAAAACUUUGUCUACCAACAAAUGGAGUGAUAAGAUUGGCAAGAUGUUUGAUAGUACAACAGAACUUGAAAUCAAUCCCUCAUUUGUCAGAAUAUCUUUUCCAUACCCUUCAGUUCCACAGAGUGACUCUGCUGUCAAAAAUCUCUUUAUAGAUCUGGCCUAUAGUUACAGGAUAACUCAUUCUAUAAGGACAGGUGGACCAACUCUAACUGUUCUGCCAUUAUUAGAAAUUGGCCCUGUAAGGCCACUCUCAGUGGUUAACAACUGCAAACAGGAUUUGCCGCAUAUGCUUUUUGAAAUUUGGCCUUAAAGACAACAGCUUGAAGGUGUUACAAUUUCUUAUGGAGUAUAUUAUAGGCAUUUACUAUCCCUGCUGGUUUAAUGUCAAAUCUAAUUACUCUCGGGUGAAAGAAGGCAGUAGCAGAUAUUAUUUAGCCAACAUUCAUCAUGCUUUGCAUUUAGUGAAAUGAUGCUUGAGACACUUUUAUGCUCAGAAGAACAAGAAGAAAGGAAAGCAGGGGUCCAGAAGAUAACUAAACUGACAAAUGGAGAUGAUGAUACACCAGGAGACCUAUCUGUUCACCCUAGGAAAACUCUUGCAGUAAAUACAAAUAUUAACCUCCAUUUACUUGUAAACUCAAAAUAUCAGACAUUAGGAAGUUUGUUCAAGAGCCUAUAGAAGUUCCAAAGUGGCCAUGUCAUGGGAAGUCCAUAGAAAGGUGAGUGGAACAAGUAACAGAUGCUCCUGUCUGAGUUAUACUCAAGAGAAAUGAGAAGGAUAAAUUAGAUGCCAGGAAGUAAGCAGAAGAAUGAUGUCUAGGAAUGAAUCAAAGUAAGACUUGAUAAAUAUUGUUGGU
Schistocerca nitens (vagrant locust) is the source of this 2758-nucleotide long non-coding RNA. RefSeq lists it as uncharacterized. The transcript has 3 exons. Lineage: Eukaryota; Metazoa; Arthropoda; Insecta; Orthoptera; Acrididae. The record is from RefSeq and is a predicted model, not a curated record.